RNAcentral lists this ribosomal RNA (429 nucleotides) under Chloroflexota bacterium. Its description in RNAcentral is "Chloroflexi bacterium partial 16S ribosomal RNA". It matches the Rfam family "Bacterial small subunit ribosomal RNA", at positions 355 to 776 of the family's 1533-position model. The record is from RNAcentral. Lineage: Bacteria; Bacillati; Chloroflexota.
UGGGGAAUAUUGCACAAUGGGCGCAAGCCUGAUGCAGCCAUGCCGCGUGUGUGAAGAAGGCCUUCGGGUUGUAAAGCACUUUCAGCGGGGAGGAAGGCGAUAAGGUUAAUAACCUUGUCGAUUGACGUUACCCGCAGAAGAAGCACCGGCUAACUCCGUGCCAGCAGCCGCGGUAAUACGGAGGGUGCAAGCGUUAAUCGGAAUUACUGGGCGUAAAGCGCACGCAGGCGGUCUGUCAAGUCGGAUGUGAAAUCCCCGGGCUCAACCUGGGAACUGCAUUCGAAACUGGCAGGCUAGAGUCUUGUAGAGGGGGGUAGAAUUACAGGUGUCGCGGUGAAAUGCGUAGAGAUCUGGAGGAAUACCGGUGGCGAAGGCGGCCCCCUGGACAAAGACUGACGCUCAGGUGCGAAAGCGUGGGGAGCAAACAGG